CAGGUGUCAAGCCAGGAAUGGCCAAGGCCAGCUAGAGGAGACCUGGAGGCCGGGGGUGUUGGUGCGAGCUUGUACUUGGAUGCAGGGUCCUGGGACAACACCAGUCCCCCUACCCCGAAGCUGAGACUCAAGGUCCCGAGAAAUGUCCAGUCAGAAGACACAGACGAGGCCAAGAGUGGUCACAGCUGAGGCCUUCAAGGUUCACAGAUGGGAAAGUCUGACUUCAGAAGACUUGGUGGUUUGUUGAGGCAACAUGGCAGCCGAGUGUCAGCGCUCAAGUCUCCACAUUUAACUAAGCCUUGCAGCCACCUCUGUUGGGGUCCUCACUUCUUCCCCAGGAUGAAACAUGAGGCCAAUAUUGAAGACAGAAGAUGGGAGAGUUUUCCAUGCACUCCCUGGUGGGGUGGGGUUCUCUGGUAAGUCCUCCUCUCCCCCCAGAGCCCCGCUGU
Molecule: long non-coding RNA, 449 nt
Filed under: Rattus norvegicus (Norway rat)
Lineage: Eukaryota; Metazoa; Chordata; Mammalia; Rodentia; Muridae
Description: long non-coding RNA NONRATT033016
Source: RNAcentral